Syngnathoides biaculeatus (alligator pipefish) is the source of this 1064-nucleotide long non-coding RNA. RefSeq lists it as uncharacterized. The transcript has 3 exons. The record is from RefSeq and is a predicted model, not a curated record. NCBI's taxonomy places the organism in Eukaryota, Metazoa, Chordata, Actinopteri, Syngnathiformes, Syngnathidae.
AGGCAGCACUGUUGACGACUGAUUAGAUCCUCUGCUUCACAGUUUUGAGGUCAAAUCCGAGAACAGAUCCCCGCCCCGCCUGUGUGGAGUUUGCAUGUUCACCCCACGACUACGUAGGUUACCCAGUGCACUCCGGUUUCCUCCCACAGCCCAAAACAUGCACAGUAGGUUAAUUGAAUACUCUAAAUUGCUCGUAUGUGUGAAUGUGAGUGUGAAUGGUUGUCAUUUUAUAUGAGCCCUGCAACUGACUGGCAACCCCACCUCCUCCCGAAGAUAUCUGCGAGAGGCCCCACCACACCUGCGGCCCAUAUGAGGAUAAGUGGCUCAGAAAAUGGAUGGAUUGAUGUCUGUACCUUGAUGAAUGUAACAGCAGCAUAAUUUUAACUGAAGAUCAGCAUACAUGGGGGGCUGUUUUAAGUAAAAAAAAAAAGGACCAGAGAGAACUCAAACAGGAAGAGAUGUCUGUCACGUCCCUUUCGGAUCAGUGAGCGUGGAUCCCAAACCUGGAAACUGUCUUGCAGGAUCAGCUCACCUUGCACCUCCAAGUUUUCCUCAAAACCUGGUUGGUCCAAGGUCUGAAGAUGCAUUUCCUCUCAUGACCUCUCUCCUGCAGAGCUCUCGGUGUUAGCUGGGAUUGCCUCUGGCACUCUCACAACCGUUGUGAGGACAAGCGGCUUGGAAAAUGGAUGCAUGCAUAUGAUAAAUCGGGUGUAGUAAAUGCUGGGAGAGCAUCCCUGCAUGCGCACAGCAUGCUUAGUGGCACUAAGGAUGUAAAUAGCGUUUUAAGUGCAUGUUUUGUGUCAAUUAUUUCUUCAGUAUUUGUUUUAUUUGUUUAACUAUUUGCUAGUUAUGCUAUUCUGUUUGCUGUGGUGUGAUAAUUUUAGUUUUGCUAUGACACUGUGAUGUGGCUGUGGAGUUUUUGACCAACUUAUUCAUUAGAACACUAGCGGGAGAGAAGAUGCAAGAAGAAUGGAAGAAAAGUGUGCUAGUCCCCAUUUUUAACAACAAAGGCGAAGUUCAGUACUGUGGGAACUAUAGAGGAAUAAAGUUGAUGAGCCACACAA